Non-coding RNA from Acanthosepion pharaonis, 110 nucleotides. Lineage: Eukaryota; Metazoa; Mollusca; Cephalopoda; Sepiida; Sepiidae. The record is from the annotation of a GenBank genome assembly.
UACGGCCAUAACACAUUGAAACACCGGUUCUCGUCCGAGCACCGAAGUUAAGCAACGUUUGGCCUGGUCGGUACCUAGAUGGGUGACCGCUUGAGAAUAUCAGGUGCUUC